AAGAUAUAAUUUCAAUUCAUCACAUCUCAAAUAUUGGAAAAGGGUAUGAUUUUGAUCUUUUAACAAUAGAUCAUGACAUGUACAUAAGUUAAAAUAAAGCAUCUGCACAAGAUUCCUAGUGAAAAUUGUAAUAGCCCAUUUUGCCCAGGCCAAAGCACAAAUAAAUAAAAUCCAAAAUAACAAAAAUAUUCAUAAAGUCCAAAUUACAAACAGGCCCAAUAUGACCCAAAUUAGAAAAACCUUGCAGCCCAAAAUGGCCCAAAGCUUAAGCUGUUUCAGAAAAAAAAAAAACCCUAGGGCACCAUGUGCGCCGCACUGCUUCUUCGUGCCCUUGCAGCGCACUCGUCGCCCGAAGCAUGAUAGAUAUCAGCGGCCUUGCACCAAAAUGGCCAGGGUUAUCCCUCCAACGCUCGUUGACCUUGCCAAAACCUGCAAACAGGGCAAAAAGGAGACAAACACGGAAGCAAAGCAAAAGCAAACAAAAACAGCGUGUAAAUCGGCUAUAAAUGGCCUGAGAAAAUAUUGUAAAAAGGGGAGGGGGAUUUUUGUAUGAAAAAAAAGAUUGAAAAAAUAAAAUACAAAAACAGAGGUGAUUCUAAAAGCUUUUUUCAAUUUUUUCCUUUCUGUUCUUAUAUAUUUUUUCUUGAUCUAUUCUUUUCUUCUGAUAUACAUUCGAAAAUAAAAUAAAAAAACAAAUAAGGUAGAAGCGAUUUUCGAUUUCUUUUGGGGUGUUCUUCGAUUAUGUUUUAUGCAUAAGAUAAAAUAAAGAGAGGGAGGGGAGCGUACCUUGUCGUCGGAGCCGUCGAACUCCAUCGUAAUCAAAGCCUUGGUGAGCCCGAAAGCAUAAGAGCGGGGUAGAGGAGAACUUUAGGGCUAUUAUGUUUUUUUAAAAGGGGGAGUGUCUGCUGAGGCUUAGGGAUUUGUUAGAAUCAUUGUUUCUUAUUGAAACAGUGCCGUUU
Molecule: long non-coding RNA, 959 nt
Filed under: Gossypium barbadense (sea-island cotton)
Lineage: Eukaryota; Viridiplantae; Streptophyta; Magnoliopsida; Malvales; Malvaceae
Description: long non-coding RNA (GBAR_LNC013758)
Source: RNAcentral